This 437-nucleotide ribosomal RNA is filed under the name uncultured bacterium. Its description in RNAcentral is "bacterial SSU rRNA". It matches the Rfam family "Bacterial small subunit ribosomal RNA", at positions 958 to 1399 of the family's 1533-position model. The record is from RNAcentral.
AACGCGAAGAACCUUACCGGGGCUUGACAUCCCGCGCUAUCCUAGGAGACUAGGUUUCCGGGCAACCGGACGCGGAGACAGGUGCUGCAUGGCUGUCGUCAGCUCGUGCCGUGAGGUGUUGGGUUAAGUCCCGCAACGAGCGCAACCCUCGUCGUGUGUUGGUCCACAAGAUCUCUCACACGAGACCGCCGAUGAGAAGUCGGAGGAAGGUGGGGAUGACGUCAAGUCAGCAUGGCCCUUACGUCCCGGGCUACACACGUGCUACAAUGCGCCGAACAACGAGCUGCGAACCCGCGAGGGUAAGCCAAUCUCUUAAAUCGGCGCUCAGUUCGGAUUGAAGGCUGCAACUCGCCUUCAUGAAGUCGGAAUCGCUAGUAAACGCAGAUCAGCUACGCUGCGUUGAAUACGUUCCCGGGCCUUGUACACACCGACUGUAC